AUUGAACGCUGGCGGAAUGCUUUACACAUGCAAGUCGAACGGCAGCACGGGGGCAACCCUGGUGGCGAGUGGCGAACGGGUGAGUAAUACAUCGGAACGUGCCCAGUCGUGGGGGAUAACGUAGCGAAAGUUACGCUAAUACCGCAUAUUCUCUGAGGAGGAAAGCAGGGGACCUUCGGGCCUUGCGCUAAUAGAGCGGCUGAUGUCGGAUUAGCUGGUUGGUGAGGUAAAGGCUCACCAAGGCGCCGAUCCGUAGCGGGUCUGAGAGGAUGGUCCGCCACACUGGGACUGAGACACGGCCCAGACGCCUACGGGCGGCAGCAGUGGGGAAUUUUGGACAAUGGGAGCAACCCUGAUCCAGCCAUGCCGCGUGAGUGAAGAAGGCCUUCGGGUUGUAAAGCUCUUUCGGCCGGGAAGAAAUCGCACAGGCUAAUAUCCUGUGUGGAUGACGGUACCGGAAUAAGAAGCACCGGCUAACUACGUGCCAGCAGCCGCAGUAA
RNAcentral lists this ribosomal RNA (500 nucleotides) under uncultured bacterium. RNAcentral describes it as "partial 16S ribosomal RNA". It matches the Rfam family "Bacterial small subunit ribosomal RNA", at positions 29 to 523 of the family's 1533-position model. The record is from RNAcentral.